UCGCAAGAAUGAAACUCAAAGGAAUUGACGGGGGCCCGCACAAGCGGAGGAACAUGUGGUUUAAUUCGAUGAUACGCGAGGAACCUUACCCGGGCUUGAAAGUUAGUGACGGAUCUUGAAAGAGGUCUUCCCUUCGGGGCACGAAACUAGGUGCUGCAUGGUUGUCGUCAGCUCGUGCCGUGAGGUGUCGGGUUAAGUCCCAUAACGAGCGCAACCCCUACCGUUAGUUGCCAGCAGGUCAAGCUGGGCACUCUGACGGGACUGCCGGUGUAAGCCGAGAGGAAGGUGGGGAUGACGUCAAAUCAGCACGGCCCUUACGUCCGGGGCUACACACGUGUUACAAUGGCAGGUACAGAGGGCAGCUACCCAGCGAUGGGAUGCGAAUCUCGAAAGCCUGUCUCAGUUCGGAUUGGAGGCUGAAACCCGCCUCCAUGAAGUUGGAUUCGCUAGUAAUCGCGCAUCAGCCAUGGCGCGGUGAAUACGUUCCCGG
This 490-nucleotide ribosomal RNA is filed under the name uncultured bacterium. RNAcentral's name for it is "bacterial SSU rRNA". It matches the Rfam family "Bacterial small subunit ribosomal RNA", at positions 886 to 1377 of the family's 1533-position model. The record is from RNAcentral.